Molecule: ribosomal RNA, 714 nt
Filed under: Alcaligenes faecalis
Lineage: Bacteria; Pseudomonadati; Pseudomonadota; Betaproteobacteria; Burkholderiales; Alcaligenaceae
Description: bacterial SSU rRNA
Rfam family: Bacterial small subunit ribosomal RNA
Source: RNAcentral
GCAGUCGACGGCAGCGCGAGAGAGCUUGCUCUCUUGGCGGCGAGUGGCGCGACGGGUGAGUAAUAUAUCGGAACGUGCCCAGUAGCGGGGGAUAACUACUCGAAAGAGUGGCUAAUACCGCAUACGCCCUACGGGGGAAAGGGGGGGAUCGCAAGACCUCUCACUAUUGGAGCGGCCGAUAUCGGAUUAGCUAGUUGGUGGGGUAAAGGCUCACCAAGGCAACGAUCCGUAGCUGGUUUGAGAGGACGACCAGCCACACUGGGACUGAGACACGGCCCAGACUCCUACGGGAGGCAGCAGUGGGGAAUUUUGGACAAUGGGGGAAACCCUGAUCCAGCCAUCCCGCGUGUAUGAUGAAGGCCUUCGGGUUGUAAAGUACUUUUGGCAGAGAAGAAAAGGUAUCCCCUAAUACGGGAUACUGCUGACGGUAUCUGCAGAAUAAGCACCGGCUAACUACGUGCCAGCAGCCGCGGUAAUACGUAGGGUGCAAGCGUUAAUCGGAAUUACUGGGCGUAAAGCGUGUGUAGGCGGUUCGGAAAGAAAGAUGUGAAAUCCCAGGGCUCAACCCUUGGAACUGCAUUUUUAACUGCCGAGCUAGAGUAUGUCAGAGGGGGGUAGAAUUCCACGUGUAGCAGUGAAAAUGCGUAGAUAUGUGGAGGAAUACCGAUGGCGAAGGCAGCCCCCCUGGGAUAAUACUGACGCUCAAGACACGAA